This 477-nucleotide ribosomal RNA is filed under the name uncultured bacterium. RNAcentral describes it as "partial 16S ribosomal RNA". It matches the Rfam family "Bacterial small subunit ribosomal RNA", at positions 28 to 507 of the family's 1533-position model. The record is from RNAcentral.
GAUGAACGCUGGCGGCGUGCCUAAUACAUGCAAGUCGAGCGAACGGACGAGAAGCUUGCUUUUCUGAUGUUAGCGGAGGACGGGUGAGUAACACGUGGAUAAUCUACCUAUAAGACUGGGAUAUCUUCGGGAAACCGGCGCUAAUACCGGAGAAUAUUUUGAACCGCAGGGUUCAAAAGUGAAAGACGGUCUUGCUGGCAGUUGUGGAUGGAUGCGGGCUUCAUUAGCGAGUUGGGAAGGUAGCGGCUUACCAAGGCAACGAUGCAUAGCCGGCCUGAGAGGGUGACCGGCCACAGUGGGACUGAGAUACGGCCCAGACUCCUACGGGAGGAAGCAGUGGGGAAUAUUGCAAAAUGGGCGGAAGUGUGAUGCAGCAACGCCGCGUGCGGGAUGACGGCCUUCGGGUUGUAAACCGCUGUCGCCUGUGACGAAGCGUGAGUGACGGUAAUGGGUAAAGAAGCACCGGCUAACUACGUG